GUGUCAGCCGCCGCGGUAAUACGUAGGUGGCAAGCGUUGUCCGGAUUUACUGGGCGUAAAGGAUGUGUAGGCGGAUAUUUAAGUGAGAUGUGAAAUCCCCGGGCUUAACUUGGGGGCUGCAUUUCAAACUGGAUGUCUAGAGUGCAGGAGAGGAAAGCAGAAUUACUAGUGUAGCGGGGAAAUGCGUAGUAAUUAAGAAGAAUACCAGUGGCGAAGGCGGCUUUCUGAACUGUAACUGACGCUGGUGCAUGAA
RNAcentral lists this ribosomal RNA (253 nucleotides) under uncultured bacterium. Its description in RNAcentral is "partial 16S rRNA". It matches the Rfam family "Bacterial small subunit ribosomal RNA", at positions 505 to 757 of the family's 1533-position model. The record is from RNAcentral.